UUGGUGUUAGGUGCUAGGCACUAGGCUAGUUGUUCUAUAUAUUAUCUAAUUAAAUGGUCCCAACAAUUCUAUGAGAUAAGUACUCCUAUUAUUUCAAUUUUACAGAUGAAUUCUCUGAGGUCAAAAAUGGUUCUGAGACUUGCUCAAGAUUACAUAGCUAGGAAAGAGAAGGCCAGAAUUGUACCCUGGUUUGUGAGCUUCCAGCCUAUAUCCAGUCAUUACCCUUCACUGCCUCUCAACUUCUGACCUACUUCUAAACGGAGGACAGUUAACAUGACUAACUGGCUUUCUGUUGGGCAUAAAAAAUGCUGCACUCUGCUGCUAUGUCAUGGCUUAUGUCCCUAAUGGGCUUUGGUGUUCCAAACAGGAACUCAAGCUGUCUUUUGUUACUGUCAACUUAGUCCUAACAACUAAUCGUCUAUUUUCUUUAAUCACCUUUUGAUGAGCUAGGAAUCCCUAAAGAAAGCAGUUAUACCCACAAAGUAUCAGAGGGGGAACUUAGGGGAAUUGCUGGGCAUAUGCUGAGUCAGGGUAUAAAAAAAUCUUUGGUAAUAAUAAAGUCCUUUGCAACAUAAGGGAUUACAAUUAUUAAUAAUAAUUAUUAUAAACAACUAUGACAACAAUGUCAGUUGUACCUCUUAGCAAUUUCUUCUUUACCUUUGCUGCAGGUGGUAACACACCCCAAAAUGAAACUUCCAAUCUGGAAGGGUCCCACUAUGAGACUACUCUAUGGUUUAUCUCAGCUUCCUAUGCAAUUGCUAGGCCAGUCUGUCUCACUGGACCACAAGAAAGAAGUGGCACUGGGGUGAGGGCUUCCAGGAAACAGUGACAGAUGCUCCUCUUUUCAUUACUGAACUGUGACAGAUCAACUGGGGUGCUAGAGAGUGAGGCUGGGUGGGUGUCUGUGGCUGCAAAGCAUAGGUGUCGAGGACAUUUUCUUCCUUUGAUGACGUUUUUAAGGUGGGAAAGAGAGAAUGAAAGAAAAAUUAAAGGAAGAACAAGGGGAGAAAAGAUUAAAGUAAGAGAGGAAUAGAAAUUGUGCCUUGUAGGCUGCCCUGUUUGUUCUUUGUUUUAUUAAAUUAUAAUAAUGGUAACAAGAGCUAACAUUUAUUGGGAGCUUACUAGGUGCUAACUGUGCUAAGUGCUGUAUAAGCACUCAUACAACUCUAUGAGGGAGGUAUAUUACCUCCACUUUAAAAAUGAGGACAAGAGGCUCAGCGAGAUUAUAUAAUCUGCCUAAGAAUGCACAGGCAGGAAGUGGCAGAGCAAGGAUUUAAAACUAGGUCUGACUUCAAAUCUGUGUUCUUAACCACCACAGUAGAUUAUUUUAGUAUUGUAGUCAUGUACUAGACUAUUUAUUCUAAGUCCCUUGCUUGGGAGGACUGUACCCUUCGUGUAACUGAAAUGCAUAUUUCCCCCAUAACAGAGUGUAUUAUUACCUUAGGCAUUUGGGUGAAAUUUAGUCAUUCAAUUAUGACAGAGCUAGUAAUUGUUAGAGCUGGAUGGGUCUUUAGAGGUCAUCUCUGUAGCAUAUGGGGACAGAAAAGCCCAGUGAGUGGAAAGAACUUACCCAAGUUUAUUCAGCAUUCAUGGCAAAUCUGGAUUCUUCAUUCCUAGCCUAUGCCUUUAGAUGGACUGUUUAGUGAAGACACCAGCUCUAAGUCAAGCAGUUUAUUGUGGUUUAAUGAUGAGAUGCAUGUGCUGAGGAGGUAAUCAGAAGAAGUGAGAAAAGGAGACGGUGUGAAAUUUUGAAGAUUUUAUAUGCCAUGAUGCAGAAAUAAAAGUUCAGCAGGGUCAAGUAAGUUGUCCAAUGUUCAGUAUGAUGGAGUGGGAUUCACAUGCAAGACUAACUACCACUGAACCAUUUACUUCUGACUUUGCUAUUCUGCUUCCACUCACUGAACAUCUCUCUGAGCAAGGCUCAGCACCUGGUAUGAAGGCUGAAACAAGAGCGGUUGCACAGCAAAUGUUUUGCUAUAAUGAGAGAAUACAUGAAUUAAAUGCGAAUUAAACUGCUUCUA
RNAcentral lists this long non-coding RNA (2021 nucleotides) under Homo sapiens (human). RNAcentral describes it as "HSALNT0292122". Lineage: Eukaryota; Metazoa; Chordata; Mammalia; Primates; Hominidae. The record is from RNAcentral.